GACGAACGCUGGCGGCGUGCUUAACACAUGCAAGUCGAGCGGUAAGGCCCUUUCGGGGGUACACGAGCGGCGAACGGGUGAGUAACACGUGGGUGACCUGCCCUUAGCUCUGGGAUAAGCCUGGGAAACUGGGUCUAAUACCGGAUAUGACCUCAUGACGCAUGUUGUGGGGUGGAAAGCCUUGUGCGGCUAGGGAUGGGCCCGCGGCCUAUCAGCUUGUUGGUGGGGUGAUGGCCACCAAGGCGACGACGGGUAGCCGGCCUGAGAGGGCGACCGGCCACACUGGGACUGAGACACGGCCCAGACUCCUACGGGAGGCAGCAGUGGGGAAUCUUGCGCAAUGGGCGAAAGCCUGACGCAGCGACGCCGCGUGAGGGAUGACGGCCU
This 387-nucleotide ribosomal RNA is filed under the name uncultured bacterium. RNAcentral's name for it is "bacterial SSU rRNA". It matches the Rfam family "Bacterial small subunit ribosomal RNA", at positions 28 to 417 of the family's 1533-position model. The record is from RNAcentral.